AAAAAGUGCAACUACUGUCUCAUUGGUUUAAAUCACAUUUUUAUAGUGGAGUAAUCUAAAAUUGUGGUUUCUUUUUCAAAAAUUGUUUUUUUCAAUUUUGUUCAAUGCAAAUAGUACACCAUUUGCAGUAAACUGAAAAUAACAUUUGGAUUAAAGUAGUUAUUUUACUUCAAACCAGAGGUUUUUGUGUCACAUGACAAAUCGUCACAUCACUUGCCCGCUGGUGCAUUUCAUGAACCGUCUUUUGAAAGGCUGCUACCUUCCACCAUCUUACAGAGCUACUGUGAUUGUGAACAAGGUUUGUCGAGCCUGGGUCUUUUGGCUGUUUUAGCCACAUUGCUGAAUUUGUCCUUCAAUGAAUGUGGAAUUGCAAAGACUUAAACUGUUCUUGUACCUUGGAAGACUUGGAAGGCACCUUUGACCCACUUGUCAAGAUUUCAUCAGCCAUCCUCACAAAGGAUCAAUGCAGAAUUCAUGAGAACAACUGCUCCACUUCAACCACAAUUCAUGGCUUCCUUGGACAACCAGUACUGUAAGCUGAUUGAGAUCAUCAGAAACAAGGGAGGAGCUGUCAGAGAGAAGAUUCAGGACAUACUAAAAGUUCUUGAUCAGAGCCACGAGGUGAUUUUGAAACGACAGUGUCUCUUGAAGGCCCUUAUUGUAUUCCUUGGGGAAGACGUGGACAAACUCUUCAAGGAGUAUCUGGUUGGUCAGAAGGAUGAACAAGAGAG
Molecule: long non-coding RNA, 731 nt
Organism: Scatophagus argus
Lineage: Eukaryota; Metazoa; Chordata; Actinopteri; Scatophagidae
Exons: 6
Source: RefSeq, a predicted model, not a curated record